GCGGUCUGCUUAACACAUGCAAGUCGAACGGAACUCUUCGGAGUUUAGUGGCGGACGGGUGAGUAACGCGUGAGAAUCUGCCUUCAGGUUGGGGACAACAGUUGGAAACGACUGCUAAUACCCAAUGUGCCGCGAGGUGAAAGCUUUAGUGCCUGAAGAUGAGCUCGCGUCUGAUUAGCUAGUUGGUGAGGUAAUGGCUUACCAAGGCGACGAUCAGUAGCUGGUCUGAGAGGAUGAUCAGCCACACUGGGACUGAGACACGGCCCAGACUCCUACGGGAGGCAGCAGUGGGGAAUUUUCCGCAAUGGGCGAAAGCCUGACGGAGCAAUACCGCGUGCGGGACGAAGGCUUUUGGGUCGUAAACCGCUUUUGUUAGGGAAGAAGAACUGACGGUACCUAACGAAUCAGCAUCGGCUAACUCCGUGCCAGCAGCCGCGGUAAUACGGGGGAUGCAAGCGUUAUCCGGAAUUAUUGGGCGUAAAGCGUCCGCAGGUGGUUUAUCAAGUCUGCUGUCAAAGCGUGGGGCUUAACCCCAUAAAGGCAGUGGAAACUGAGAGACUAGAGUACGGUAGGGGUAGCGGGAAUUCCCAGUGUAGCGGUGAAAUGCGUAGAUAUUGGGAAGAACACCAGCGGCGAAAGCGCGCUACUGGGCCGAAACUGACACUCAUGGACGAAAGCUAGGGGAGCGAAAGGGAUUAGAUACCCCUGUAGUCCUAGCUGUAA
Molecule: ribosomal RNA, 723 nt
Filed under: uncultured cyanobacterium
Lineage: Bacteria; Bacillati; Cyanobacteriota
Description: bacterial SSU rRNA
Rfam family: Bacterial small subunit ribosomal RNA
Source: RNAcentral